GGCCCAGUAGCUCAAUGCGACAGCAUACCAAGCGAUGGAUCUGGGCUGCAGGUUCAAGUCCUGCCUGGGCCU
RNAcentral lists this transfer RNA (72 nucleotides) under Marchantia polymorpha subsp. ruderalis. It matches the Rfam family "tRNA". Rfam says of the family: Transfer RNA (tRNA) molecules are approximately 80 nucleotides in length. Their secondary structure includes four short double-helical elements and three loops (D, anti-codon, and T loops). Further hydrogen bonds mediate the characteristic L-shaped molecular structure. tRNAs have two regions of fundamental functional importance: the anti-codon, which is responsible for specific mRNA codon recognition, and the 3' end, to which the tRNAs corresponding amino acid is attached (by aminoacyl-tRNA synthetases). tRNAs cope with the degeneracy of the genetic code in two manners: having more than one tRNA (with a specific anti-codon) for a particular amino acid; and 'wobble' base-pairing, i.e. permitting non-standard base-pairing at the 3rd anti-codon position. Lineage: Eukaryota; Viridiplantae; Streptophyta; Marchantiopsida; Marchantiales; Marchantiaceae. The record is from Rfam by way of RNAcentral.